This 23-nucleotide non-coding RNA is filed under the name Arabidopsis thaliana (thale cress). Lineage: Eukaryota; Viridiplantae; Streptophyta; Magnoliopsida; Brassicales; Brassicaceae. The record is from RNAcentral.
CCAAGUGACAGCUAUGCAAACCA